Long non-coding RNA from Grus americana (Whooping crane), 1417 nucleotides. RefSeq lists it as uncharacterized. The transcript has 3 exons. The record is from RefSeq and is a predicted model, not a curated record. NCBI's taxonomy places the organism in Eukaryota, Metazoa, Chordata, Aves, Gruiformes, Gruidae.
GCCAGCCUACCGCGUGCCCGGGGCGCGAGCGUGCGCACGUGCGCGGCCGAGGGUGGCUCCGGGGGUCCGCGGCGCACAGCGCGCGGGCGGGCAUCUGCGCGCGCUGUGCGGAGUCGCUUUGGCGAACGAGGCCGCUGUUCGUGUUCUGCCUUGCUCGUAACCAGCGUCUCGCUCUCAGAGCGCCGUUUCUGGGAAACAAGCGAUAAAGCGCCUUGUGUGCCCAGGCUCCGGAAGAGAACGGGAAAAGGAAGCCAAUUUCACUUUGCAUUGUCCCUACGGGCACCUAACCCCCUUGCUGGAACAAGGCGGGGAGGGCUAGGGAGGACAGAUGGGCGGAAACGUGCGUGUUCCCAGCCUCGCAGAUGGCCAGAAUGGGGCACGAAAUAGAGGACCUGACUAAAUUCAGGUAUAUUUAGGCCCACUUUUGGGACGGACCAAGAUUAACAGACGCAGGUAAAUUAUUUGGAACAGGAACCACCAGCUUUAGUCCUUGGAUUUCUACAGUGCUAAUUAUGAAGGGAUCCUGCUCCGUAGCUUAAGACUGUAGACACUACUGCGAUGAAAUUCCUGACAGGUAUAUACAAAAAUGUGCUCCCUGCUCCAAAGCAGCAUAAGGGACAAAAGUGGUAAACAGAAGCAGCAGGAAAAGCACUUUCAGAACGCUGACUGCCACAGAGAACUACAGAAUAGUAAAGAGCAGGCUGAAGAACACAGGUAAACAAAAGGGGGAAAAAACCCCCACCCUGUUUAUCUGUGCUUAAUGAAAACUAAUCAUUUUUGCUAUUAAAACAUCUCAUUUUUUAACUGAAUGGGGGUAUGAUACUGGAAUCUGCAUUCAUUCCAAGUUCCCAUUUACUUCCCUAGGAAUUAAAAGUGUUUAAAAAGAUGACUAAAGCUAUUAUUAUCAGGGAAAAAAUGAGCGGAAAUCUGCAGUGCACUGGUUCUGAUGUCAUCCUUGAGUGCUGAAGAGUUUUUAUGACUGACCUGAUUUCCUGGAUCAUUCUUUUCCACUGAUCAGUGAAAGGAGAAAAAAACCCGCAAAAUUGCAUCUCUGGGGAAUUUCAGAUUCUCACACUGCCUGGGACAGGGUCUGAUCCGCAUUACAUUACAGUGAUCACUCAAUGUAAUUUAUGUAGGAAAAAUAAAAUACCACUGAUAAACAUUUGCUGCCUCAGUUACAAAAGGUUUUGCUUAAACAUCAUCAUUAGGCAAGCAGGGCAGGGCAGAGAAGGUAUAUACUAGCAGAAGUUCUUUGGAGACUGGUCUGGUAUCAGAUACCAGGAAUUUAAACCUUUUCUUCCUUCUUGAGAAGAACUCAAGAGAAGGUAGAGGGAAUGUGAGCCUGUCACAGUCCCUUCUACAGGCCUGAAUCUCUUUUGUUUCCCAGAACAUUUUGCAUUUUUAUUUUUUGCUUUCA